This 731-nucleotide ribosomal RNA is filed under the name Bacillus subtilis. Its description in RNAcentral is "bacterial SSU rRNA". It matches the Rfam family "Bacterial small subunit ribosomal RNA", at positions 46 to 759 of the family's 1533-position model. Lineage: Bacteria; Bacillati; Bacillota; Bacilli; Caryophanales; Bacillaceae. The record is from RNAcentral.
GCCUAAUACAUGCAAGUCGAGCGGACAGAUGGGAGCUUGCUCCCUGAUGUUAGCGGCGGACGGGUGAGUAACACGUGGGUAACCUGCCUGUAAGACUGGGAUAACUCCGGGAAACCGGGGCUAAUACCGGAUGGUUGUUUGAACCGCAUGGUUCAAACAUAAAAGGUGGCUUCGGCUACCACUUACAGAUGGACCCGCGGCGCAUUAGCUAGUUGGUGAGGUAACGGCUCACCAAGGCAACGAUGCGUAGCCGACCUGAGAGGGUGAUCGGCCACACUGGGACUGAGACACGGCCCAGACUCCUACGGGAGGCAGCAGUAGGGAAUCUUCCGCAAUGGACGAAAGUCUGACGGAGCAACGCCGCGUGAGUGAUGAAGGUUUUCGGAUCGUAAAGCUCUGUUGUUAGGGAAGAACAAGUACCGUUCGAAUAGGGCGGUACCUUGACGGUACCUAACCAGAAAGCCACGGCUAACUACGUGCCAGCAGCCGCGGUAAUACGUAGGUGGCAAGCGUUGUCCGGAAUUAUUGGGCGUAAAGGGCUCGCAGGCGGUUUCUUAAGUCUGAUGUGAAAGCCCCCGGCUCAACCGGGGAGGGUCAUUGGAAACUGGGGAACUUGAGUGCAGAAGAGGAGAGUGGAAUUCCACGUGUAGCGGUGAAAUGCGUAGAGAUGUGGAGGAACACCAGUGGCGAAGGCGACUCUCUGGUCUGUAACUGACGCUGAGGAGCGAAAG